This 602-nucleotide ribosomal RNA is filed under the name uncultured archaeon. RNAcentral's name for it is "bacterial SSU rRNA". It matches the Rfam family "Archaeal small subunit ribosomal RNA", at positions 222 to 824 of the family's 1478-position model. The record is from RNAcentral.
CUAUCAGGUAGUAGUGGGUGUAGCGUACCUACUAGCCUACGACGGGUACGGGUUGUGAGAGCAAGAGCCCGGAGAUGGAUUCUGAGACACGAAUCCAGGCCCUACGGGGUGCAGCAGGCGCGAAAACUUUACAAUGCUGGCAACAGCGAUAAGGGAACCUCGAGUGCCAGGUUACAAAUCUGGCUGUCGAGAUGCCUAAAAAGCAUUUCAUAGCAAGGGCCGGGCAAGACCGGUGCCAGCCGCCGCGGUAACACCGGCGGCUCGAGUGGUAACCGUUAUUAUUGGGUCUAAAGGGUCUGUAGCCGGCCGGAUAAGUCUCUUGAGAAAUCUGGCAGCUUAACUGUCAGGCUUUCAGGAGAUACUGUCUGGCUCGAGGCCGGGAGAGGUGAGAGGUACUUCAGGGGUAGGGGUGAAAUCUUGUAAUCCUUGAAGGACCACCAGUGGCGAAGGCGUCUCACCAGAACGGACCUGACGGCAAGGGACGAAAGCUAGGGGCACGAACCGGAUUAGAUACCCGGGUAGUCCUAGCCGUAAACGAUACUCGCUAGGUGUCGGCCACGGUGCGACCGUUGUCGGUGCCGUAGGGAAGCCGUGAAGCGAGC